UGCAUAUCAAUAAGCGGAGGAAAAGAAACCAACAGGGAUUGCCUUAGUAACGGCGAGUGAAGCGGCAAAAGCUCAAAUUUGAAAUCUGGCACCUUCGGUGUCCGAGUUGUAAUUUGAAGAAGGUAACUUUGGAGUUGGCUCUUGUCUAUGUUCCUUGGAACAGGACGUCACAGAGGGUGAGAAUCCCGUGCGAUGAGAUGCCCAAUUCUAUGUAAAGUGCUUUCGAAGAGUCGAGUUGUUUGGGAAUGCAGCUCUAAGUGGGUGGUAAAUUCCAUCUAAAGCUAAAUAUUGGCGAGAGACCGAUAGCGAACAAGUACAGUGAUGGAAAGAUGAAAAGAACUUUGAAAAGAGAGUGAAAAAGUACGUGAAAUUGUUGAAAGGGAAGGGCUUGAGAUCAGACUUGGUAUUUUGCGAUCCUUUCCUUCUUGGUUGGGUUCCUCGCAGCUUACUGGGCCAGCAUCGGUUUGGAUGGUAGGAUAAUGACUAAGGAAUGUGGCUCUACUUCGGUGGAGUGUUAUAGCCUUGGUUGAUACUGCCUGUCUAGACCGAGGACUGCGUCUUUGACUAGGAUGCUGGCAUAAUGAUCUUAAGCCACCCGUCUUGAAACACGGACCA
RNAcentral lists this ribosomal RNA (615 nucleotides) under Debaryomyces hansenii. Its description in RNAcentral is "eukaryotic LSU rRNA". It matches the Rfam family "Eukaryotic large subunit ribosomal RNA", at positions 37 to 668 of the family's 3401-position model. The record is from RNAcentral. Lineage: Eukaryota; Fungi; Ascomycota; Pichiomycetes; Serinales; Debaryomycetaceae.